AUUGAACGCUGGCGGCGUGCUUAACACAUGCAAGUCGAGCGGUAACAGGCGUAGCAAUACGUGCUGACGAGCGGCGAACGGGUGCGUAAUACAUCGGAAUCUGCCUAGUAGUGGGGAAUAACCCGGCGAAAGCCGGGCUAAUGCCGCAUACGAUCCACGGAUGAAAGCGGGGGACUUUCGGGCCUCGCGCUAUUAGAUGAGCCGAUGUCGGAUUAGCUAGUGGUGAGGUAACGGCUCACCAAGGCGACGAUCCGUAGCUGGUCUGAGAGGACGGCCAGCCACACUGGGACUGAGACACGGCCCAGACUCCUACGGGAGGCAGCAGUGGGGAAGUAUUGGACAAUGGGGGAACCCGUGAUCCAGCGACGCCGCGUGUGUGAAGAAGG
This 386-nucleotide ribosomal RNA is filed under the name uncultured bacterium. RNAcentral's name for it is "bacterial SSU rRNA". It matches the Rfam family "Bacterial small subunit ribosomal RNA", at positions 29 to 414 of the family's 1533-position model. The record is from RNAcentral.